RNAcentral lists this ribosomal RNA (499 nucleotides) under uncultured Campylobacterota bacterium. RNAcentral describes it as "bacterial SSU rRNA". It matches the Rfam family "Bacterial small subunit ribosomal RNA", at positions 74 to 595 of the family's 1533-position model. The record is from RNAcentral. Lineage: Bacteria; Pseudomonadati; Campylobacterota.
CCUAGCUUGCUAGGUGGAUUAGUGGCGCACGGGUGAGUAAUAUAUAGAUAACGUGCCUCUUAGUCUGGGAUAGCCAUGGAAACGAUGAUUAAUACUAGAUACUCCUUCUAACUCUAAUGUUAGUUGGGAAAGUUUUUCGCUAAGAGAUCGGUCUAUAUCCCAUCAGCUAGUUGGUAGUGUAAGAGACUACCAAGGCAAUGACGGGUAGCGGGUUUGAGAGGAUGAUCCGCCACACUGGUACUGAGACACGGACCAGACUCCUACGGGAGGCAGCAGUGAGGAAUAUUGCACAAUGGAGGAAACUCUGAUGCAGCAACGCCGCGUGGAGGAUGACGCAUUUCGGUGUGUAAACUCCUUUUAUAUGUCAAGAAAAUGACGGUAGCAUAUGAAUAAGCACCGGCUAACUCCGUGCCAGCAGCCGCGGUAAUACGGAGGGUGCAAGCGUUAUUCGGAAUCACUGGGCGUAAAGGACGCGUAGGCGGGAUGCCAAGUCUGAUGU